This 497-nucleotide ribosomal RNA is filed under the name uncultured bacterium. RNAcentral's name for it is "partial 16S ribosomal RNA". It matches the Rfam family "Bacterial small subunit ribosomal RNA", at positions 899 to 1397 of the family's 1533-position model. The record is from RNAcentral.
ACUCAAAUGAAUUGACGGGGGCCCGCACAAGCGGUGGAGCAUGUGGUUCAAUUCGACGCAACGCGAAGAACCUUACCCAGGCUCGAACGGCAUUGGACAUCCGGCGAAAGCCGGCUCCCGCAAGGGCCGAUGUCGAGGUGCUGCAUGGCUGUCGUCAGCUCGUGUCGUGAGAUGUUGGGUUAAGUCCCGCAACGAGCGCAACCCUUGUCCGCUGUUGCCAUCAGGUUAUGCUGGGCACUCUGCGGAGACUGCCGGUGAUAAACCGGAGGAAGGUGGGGAUGACGUCAAGUCAGCAUGGCCUUUAUGUCUGGGGCUACACACGUGCUACAAUGGCCGAUACAAACCGUCGCGAUGCCGCAAGGUGGAGCUAAUCGGAGAAAGUCGGUCUCAGUUCGGAUUGCAGGCUGCAACUCGCCUGCAUGAAGUUGGAAUCGCUAGUAAUCGCGGAUCAGCACGCCGCGGUGAAUACGUUCCCGGGCCUUGUACACACCGCCCGU